This is a long non-coding RNA of Aricia agestis (brown argus), 166 nucleotides long. RefSeq lists it as uncharacterized. Lineage: Eukaryota; Metazoa; Arthropoda; Insecta; Lepidoptera; Lycaenidae. The record is from RefSeq and is a predicted model, not a curated record. The transcript is spliced from 3 exons.
UAGCAUGGUCACCAUAGAAACGGUUUAUUUCUACGGAAGAAUAGACUAAGUGACAGUUAGACAAUGGAAAUCCGCCAUUUUGUCUAAAAAAUCUGUCAGUAUGUCGAUUCUUUCCCAUUUCUAUUGUUGUUAUGCUAGGCCUGCUGAUAGUAAAAUGGUGAAACAG